AGCAGCCGCGGUAAUUCCAGCUCCAAUAGCGUAUAUUAAAGUUGUUGCAGUUAAAAAGCUCGUAGUUGAAUUUCGGGAUCAAUAUAACGGUCAUGCCGUUGGUAUGCACUGUUAUAAUUGAUUUCUCACCUUCUAAAGAACCGUAAUGCCAUUAAUUUGGUGUCACGGGGAAUUAGGACUGUUACCUUGAAAAAUUAGAGUGUUUAAAGCAGGCUCACGCUUGAAUACAUUAGCAUGGAAUAAUGAAAUAGGACAUCCGAUUCUAUUUUGUUGGUUUCUAGGAUCGAUGUAAUGAUUAAUAGGGAUAGUUGGGGCAUUAGUAUUCAAUUGUCAGAGGUGAAAUUCUUGGAUUUAUUGAAGACUAACUACUGCGAAAGCAUUUGCCAAGGAUGUU
This 394-nucleotide ribosomal RNA is filed under the name uncultured Glomeromycotina. RNAcentral's name for it is "SSU rRNA". It matches the Rfam family "Eukaryotic small subunit ribosomal RNA", at positions 569 to 968 of the family's 1831-position model. Lineage: Eukaryota; Fungi; Glomeromycota. The record is from RNAcentral.